GCCCUCAUGCGAUGGAAAGUGAUCAAGAGCGAUUGGACCUGGAGAAUUAUUGAUGGCAUGAAAAAGCUGUCCAUCUGGGAGUGGAAUAGCUGCUAUUGUCACUGAGAUAAGUGUCUGUUUUGCUGAAGGUUCUGCUCACGGCCCAUCUGGCUCCAGGUAGUGACGCCGCAUCAGCUGGGGCUGGCUUUGUUUUAAAAAAAAAAAAAAAAAAAAAAAAAAAAGUUCCUGAACAGCACAGGUUAUGAGGGAGGCAAGGUCCCCAUUUUCAGGGGGUGCUCAUGUCCAGUAGUUUUGUGUCUUCUGCAGCAGAAGGUUAGAUCCAGGAGGAUGACACCCAGGUGGCAAGUUGCUUGCCUUCCUCCUAUGUUUUUCUCUCUUUUCUAAUAUGUUGGCCAACACACACUGUCUCUCUGACUGUCUGUCUUUCUCUCUCUCUGUCCUUACCUUUCCUUGUGCCAUCUCCCUUCAUAGGACACAGGCAGGGGUGCUCAGUGUGCAUCCCCCCAUGCUAGCUCUUGGGAGCCAUGGAGCAGUAGGAGCGGAGAAAAAUCAUGAGGGGCAGUGAGCGCUAAAGUGGAGAGGUGACUGUCUGCUUUUACCCAGUCUCUGUUCAUCGAGUCAGCCUGAGUUUGCGGCGGAAUCGUCCAGGAGCCCUCACCGGAGGAGAAACUGGCAAAGGUUGAUCUGAGCUGCCUGGACUUUAUUCUAAGGAGACAUGAACAGUCCUCAGCUUUCUGCCUCUCAUGUAAGCUGUCAGUGCUUGGAAUUCCUCAUCUGUACUGACUGUAUUCACAGCCCGUAUGGUUCCUCGUUGGGUACAGGACUCUGUGGUGUUAAGCCUGGGGAGGGGCCAGCAUCUGCUGUACCGAGUGACUGUCAGGUACCGUUGCAAGGGCUGCUUUUUGGUUGUAAUGCUAAAGGUGUGAUGGGAAGAGUGGUGAGGGCGGAGCCCCGCCGUGUUGGAGAGGCGAAAAGAAGAGCCAAUGUGAUGUUGCCCACUGAGUUGGUAACUUUUUUUUUCCCCCUUCUGCUGGUUGUAUUACCAAGGGAAAAGAAAUCUCGCGUCAGAGUCUGCUGUCCUCAUGUGAUGGAAAGUGAGUGAGAGCGAUGGGACUGCGAGAGUUAUUGAUGCCACGCAAAAGCCGUCCAACCGGGAUCAGAACAGCUGCCACUGUCAGUGAGAUAAGUGUCUGUUUUGGUGAUUGCUGUGCUCAUGGCCCACCUUGCUCUUGAUAGGGACGUCGCGUUUGCUGGGGCUGUGUUUGUAAGAAAAUGUUUUUGAGUAGCUGUGGUUGAGAGAGACAAGGUCCCCAUUUUCAGGGGCUGCUCAGUUCUCUGGCCAGUAGCGGUGUGUCCUCCGCAGCAGAAAGAUCUAGGAGGAUGACUCAAGGUGGCGAGUUGCUUGCCUUCCUCCUGUGUUUCUGUCUCUGUCCUCUAGUAUGUUGGCUAACACACACCCUCCUUUCUAUCCUUACCUUUCCUUGUGCCGUCUCCCUUCAUAGGACACGGGCAGGUGUUCUAGGUGCACAUCUCCAUAGGUUAGGUCUUGGGAGCCCUGAAAUAGUAGGAGGGGACGAAAACCAUGUGGGGCAGUGGGCGCUAAAGUGAAGCAGUGACUAUCGGUGUUAACUUGGUCUCUGUUCAUCGAGUGGGGCUGAUCUAGAUGGGAUGGGAGAGGGAGGCAGGAUGAGGGCAAGAUUUCAAGCACCAUUAGAGCUUUGUGUUGUGAUGGCUCAUGCUUGGCUUUUGCAGCUGCUCUUGCAGAGGAAUUGUCCAGGAGCCCUUGCUGGAGCAGAAACUGGCAGAGGUGCAUCUGAGCAGCCUGAACAUCCUUCUAAGCAGACACGAACAGUCCUCGGCUUUCUGCUUCCCGCAUAACUGGCUUACCAAGGAAAAACAAGUCACACGUCAGAGUCUACUGCCCUCGUGCGAUGGAAAG
Long non-coding RNA from Mauremys mutica (yellowpond turtle), 1939 nucleotides. RefSeq lists it as uncharacterized. The transcript is spliced from 3 exons. Lineage: Eukaryota; Metazoa; Chordata; Testudines; Geoemydidae. The record is from RefSeq and is a predicted model, not a curated record.